Molecule: ribosomal RNA, 497 nt
Filed under: uncultured bacterium
Lineage: Bacteria
Description: partial 16S ribosomal RNA
Rfam family: Bacterial small subunit ribosomal RNA
Source: RNAcentral
GAUGAACGCUGGCGGCGUGCCUAAUACAUGCAAGUCGAGCGAACGGACGAGAAGCUUGCUUCUCUGAUGUUAGCGGCGGACGGGUGAGUAACACGUGGAUAACCUACCUAUAAGACUGGGAUAACUUCGGGAAACCGGAGCUAAUACCGGAUAAUAUUUUGAACCGCAUGGUUCAAAAGUGAAAGACGGUCUUGCUGUCACUUAUAGAUGGAUCCGCGCUGCAUUAGCUAGUUGGUAAGGUAACGGCUUACCAAGGCAACGAUGCAUAGCCGACCUGAGAGGGUGAUCGGCCACACUGGAACUGAGACACGGUCCAUGCUCCUACGGGAGGCAGCAGUAGGGAAUCUUCCGCAAUGGGCGAAAGCCUGACGGAGCAACGCCGCGUGAGUGAUGAAGGUCUUCGGAUCGUAAAACUCUGUUAUUAGGGAAGAACAUAUGUGUAAGUAACUGUGCACAUCUUGACGGUACCUAAUCAGAAAGCCACGGCUAACUACGUG